GCACCGGGCAGAGGCGCCCAGCUGAGGGGUGGCGGGGCGAUGGGAGCCGCAGAGAGCCUCUGAGCAGGGGAGUGUUUUUAUUUUGGAAACAUCGCCCGAGCUGUGGUGAGGAUAUUGAUUCGGACAAGUGGCAGGGGGCCGCAUUGCAGUGGUUCAGGAGUGAGAUCAGGGUGACAGUGGCCAUGACUGCAGGGGACAGGUCCCACAGACACAGACACGUAGGCGGUGAAGGCGUUAGGACAGGAGCUGGGAUGUGGGGCAAGCAAGGGGGGGCAGGGAUCUGGGCAGAUUCUGGGUAUCUGGCAGCGCAGCCCCGAAACGGAUCACCAGAUUAGAAACACCAGAUAAAAGACCGCGUAGAGGAAAAGAUGUCUGCGGAGCUGAGAAUACGGAUUAUUUUUGGAACUUUGCUCUCAUGCAUCUUCUUUAAAUAUUGAUAACCAACAUUUUUAAGGAGCUUAAUGCGGCGUGCCUGGUUCUGUUCUAAGCACUUCGCGUGCCAUAACGCAUUAAGUCCUCCAGGCAACCCUCUGGAGCACAGAUUUUCUAUCAUCUCCAACAUGAAGAGACAGGCACAGAGAGAAUGCUGUGGGCGGCUUAGAGGAAUAAAUGUGUGAUGAGACCGCGCAGAUAAGAAUCUGCCAGAGCACCGGGAACGGAAGGGAGCGUGUGGAAAGGAGGAAGGAGACCACGGGAAACGUGCUCCGUGCGGACUUGCCAGCGCCUGGGCCUUGGGCUCCCCUGCAUCGUUGGGGCUUCAGCCUCCGUUUCCUGGCCUCUGAGCCGGGCAGCGACUCCCACAUUGGGAGGGGGCUGGGGGGACCAAGUGGGAUGACAGGCCUGUUCACGUGCUCAGUGGGGUUCCUCCCUGGCCGUCUUGUUUCCCCUUGAAAUGCCAGCCUCCUGGGGGCUGUCCCCAGGGCCUCCAGCACGGCCACCUUCCCUUUCUCUCAGGCAGGAUGGAGUCUGACAUCCUCCGGCUUCUCACUCCCUCUCCAUCCCCCGCACAGCAUAUAUUAUGUAUACGCUCCGUAUCCAUGGGGAUGGCUUCCAGGAAUCCCACAGGCUCCAAAAUCUGAGGAUGCUCACACCCUUUAUUUAAAACAGUGCGGUCUUUCCGCACAACCCGA
Ictidomys tridecemlineatus (thirteen-lined ground squirrel) is the source of this 1130-nucleotide non-coding RNA. The record is from RefSeq and is a predicted model, not a curated record. NCBI's taxonomy places the organism in Eukaryota, Metazoa, Chordata, Mammalia, Rodentia, Sciuridae.